GAUGAACGCUGGCGGCGUGCCUAAUACAUGCAAGUCGAGCGAACGGACGAGAAGCUUGCUUCUCUGAUGUUAGCGGCGGACGGGUGAGUAACACGUGGAUAACCUACCUAUAAGACUGGGAUAACUUCGGGAAACCGGAGCUAAUACCGGAUAAUAUUUUGAACCGCAUGGUUCAAAAGUGAAAGACGGUCUUGCUGUCACUUAUAGAUGGAUCCGCGCUGCAUUAGCUAGUUGGUAAGGUAACGGCUUACCAAGGCAACGAUGCAUAGCCGACCUGAGAGGGUGAUCGGCCACACUGGAACUGAGACACGGUCCAGACUCCUACGGGAGGCAGCAGUAGGGAAUCUUCCGCAAUGGGCGAAAGCCUGACGGAGCAACGCCGCGUGGGUGAUGAAGGUCUUCGGAUCGUAAAACUCUGUUAUUAGGGAAGAACAUAUGUGUAAGUAACUGUGCACAUCUUGACGGUACCUAAUCAGAAAGCCACGGCUAACUACGUGCCAGCAGCCGCGGUAAUACGUAGGUGGCAAGCGUUAUCCGGAAUUAUUGGGCGUAAAGCGCGCGUAGGCGGUUUUUUAAGUCUGAUGUGAAAGCCCACGGCUCAACCGUGGAGGGUCAUUGGAAACUGGAAAACUUGAGUGCAGAAGAGGAAAGUGGAAUUCCAUGUGUAGCGGUGAAAUGCGCAGAGAUAUGGAGGAACACCAGUGGCGAAGGCGACUUUCUGGUCUGUAACUGACGCUGAUGUGCGAAAGCGUGGGGAUCAAACAGGAUUAGAUACCCUGGUAGUCCACGCCGUAAACGAUGAGUGCUAAGUGUUAGGGGGUUUCCGCCCCUUAGUGCUGCAGCUAACGCAUUAAGCACUCCGCCUGGGGAAUACGACCGCAAGGUUGAAACUCAAAGGAAUUGACGGGGACCCGCACAAGCGGUGGAGCAUGUGGUUUAAUUCGAAGCAACGCGAAGAACCUUACCAAAUCUUGACAUCCUUUGACAACUCUAGAGAUAGAGCCUUCCCCUUCGGGGGACAAAGUGACAGGUGGUGCAUGGUUGUCGUCAGCUCGUGUCGUGAGAUGUUGGGUUAAGUCCCGCAACGAGCGCAACCCUUAAGCUUAGUUGCCAUCAUUAAGUUGGGCACUCUAAGUUGACUGCCGGUGACAAACCGGAGGAAGGUGGGGAUGACGUCAAAUCAUCAUGCCCCUUAUGAUUUGGGCUACACACGUGCUACAAUGGACAAUACAAAGGGCAGCGAAACCGCGAGGUCAAGCAAAUCCCAUAAAGUUGUUCUCAGUUCGGAUUGUAGUCUGCAACUCGACUACAUGAAGCUGGAAUCGCUAGUAAUCGUAGAUCAGCAUGCUACGGUGAAUACGUUCCCGGGUCU
RNAcentral lists this ribosomal RNA (1372 nucleotides) under uncultured bacterium. RNAcentral describes it as "bacterial SSU rRNA". It matches the Rfam family "Bacterial small subunit ribosomal RNA", at positions 28 to 1381 of the family's 1533-position model. The record is from RNAcentral.